This 253-nucleotide ribosomal RNA is filed under the name uncultured bacterium. Its description in RNAcentral is "partial 16S ribosomal RNA". It matches the Rfam family "Bacterial small subunit ribosomal RNA", at positions 524 to 776 of the family's 1533-position model. The record is from RNAcentral. RNAcentral also lists the same sequence under 1 other name.
GACGAACCGAGCGAACGUUGUUCGGAAUCACUGGGCUUAAAGGGCGCGUAGGCGGGUCGCUAAGUCCGUCGUGAAAUCCCCCGGCUCAACCGGGGAACUGCGAUGGAUACUGGCGGCCUCGAGGAACGUAGGGGUAUGCGGAACUAUCGGUGGAGCGGUGAAAUGCGUUGAUAUCGAUAGGAACUCCGGUGGCGAAGGCGGCAUACUGGACGUUUUCUGACGCUGAGGCGCGAAAGCCAGGGGAGCAAACGGG